RNAcentral lists this ribosomal RNA (253 nucleotides) under uncultured bacterium. RNAcentral describes it as "partial 16S ribosomal RNA". It matches the Rfam family "Bacterial small subunit ribosomal RNA", at positions 524 to 776 of the family's 1533-position model. The record is from RNAcentral.
UACGUAGGGUGCGAGCGUUGUCCGGAAUUAUUGGGCGUAAAGAGCUCGUAGGCGGUUUGUCGCGUCUAUCGUGAAAACUAGCAGCUUAACUGUUGGCGUGCGGUGGAUACGGGCAGACUUGAGUUCGGUAGGGGAGACUGGAAUUCCUGGUGUAGCGGUGAAAUGCGCAGAUAUCAGGAGGAACACCGGUGGCGAAGGCGGCUUUCUGGGCCUUACCUGACGCUGAGGAGCGAAAGCUGGGGGAGCGAACAGG